Lutzomyia longipalpis is the source of this 390-nucleotide long non-coding RNA. RefSeq lists it as uncharacterized. NCBI's taxonomy places the organism in Eukaryota, Metazoa, Arthropoda, Insecta, Diptera, Psychodidae. The record is from RefSeq and is a predicted model, not a curated record. The transcript is spliced from 3 exons.
UUGCUACCUGUAUACACUUGAUACUCAUUAGCAAUGCCAUGUUAAGCGGAGUGAGCACUCAGGCAUACUUCUUUUCCAAUACUUUCUUCAUGGUGAGCCUCUUCUGGGCUUUGCACAGCAGAAAAUCCAAAGAUGCUGCUUGUAUGGCUAUCGCUAUAAACGUCUUUAGCUUCUUCAUGGAUAUUUUAUGCAUCGUUGUAUACUUUUCAGAACACAAUAUAUGGUCAGUGACUUUUGCCAUCAUCAAUGUAGUCGCGAAGCUUUUCUCCAUCUGCAUACUUUGUUGUGAAUCAGUCAAGAGGGCCGUCAAACCCAAUAACUUAGGAGCAGGCUCACAUCAUCAUACUUCUUUUAGUUUUUUCUGCUCAGAUCCGACGGAUGAACACUGAA